GUCGAUAAGUUUUUAUUGCCAAGCAUAUUUUUAUAAAUGUCUGAAUUAACCAACCUAACUUGACACGAUCAAAACUUGACUGCGUUGGGUUGAAACACAUAAAUGGGAUGGGUUGUUCAGAUUUAAGAUCUUCCAACAAUGUUGGGUUAGGUAAAAAAUCGAUCCACCCCAACCCAACCUGUGCCUACCCCUAAUUCUAUUUGGGCUGAUGUUUCGUGGUCUACCUCUUUAAGUAAUGGUUUUAUCCUAUCCUUACAAAUGGCCUUUUCUUAUCCGUUGUAUUGGUAAAUUUCUAUUAGGCACAUAUAUUGAUCUUCUUAUCUUUCAUUCGGCUGGGGUUUGAAUAGUAUUCUGCUAGAGUUUAUGGACUGCUCUUUGAGUGUUCUGUACUCUUCGUCUUCGUGUUCAAUCUCUGUAAUCUUUUAGUGAGAUGUUCUUGAUUGUAUUUAGUGUGCAAUCUGAGAGAUUGAGUGAAGUAUAUUCUAUGUAAUUCUUAGAGAGAUAAGAAGAAACAUUACAUUUGUAAUUGUCCUUGAUGAUUUUUUUUUAUUUUUUUUUGGAUUUGAGCAAUAUCUACUUAGUAGAUACUCAAAGUGGUAAAUAGGCCUUUGGCUGAACAUCCGGGCCUUUAGUAACGAAAAUUUCUCUGUCUUCUUCUAUUCUUUGCAUUUUUUUAUUUUUUGUAACUCUAAGCUUUUCACAUCAUUAUUAUUUUGGUGAUUCUG
RNAcentral lists this long non-coding RNA (725 nucleotides) under Olea europaea (common olive). Its description in RNAcentral is "long non-coding RNA (OEUR_LNC007678)". The record is from RNAcentral. Lineage: Eukaryota; Viridiplantae; Streptophyta; Magnoliopsida; Lamiales; Oleaceae.